AAUUAAACCCUCUCUCUCGCCUUCGGACGCAUGCAAACCCCCUCCCCCUUUUCUUCUUCGCAAGCUUCAGCCCUAGUUGUCAGUCCUUCACGCAGCCGCUCGUCGUCGGGGGUCUUCAAUCUUGUCAACAUCGCCAUCGUCAUGUCCUUCCAACGAAGGUGACUCUAUGGGAUCACUACGACUAAACUGACAAGAGUGUACACCGGUGCCUAGAUAAACUAACUAACAGGAAAUGACAGGAUUGGACUGGCGAGGGACAGGCAGGAUCUUUGAUAGAGCCAUUCAGAGACAUUAGAAAACGUUUACGCACAUGUUUUCUUUUAAUAUAUGGUUUUUGUUCCUUUCAUUUGAUUAGUUGUCAGAUGACAUAUUUUCACUGAUUUUCUUUUGAUCAUUUUCUUUGUAAAUGUUUUAUUUGGG
Molecule: non-coding RNA, 420 nt
Organism: Benincasa hispida (wax gourd)
Lineage: Eukaryota; Viridiplantae; Streptophyta; Magnoliopsida; Cucurbitales; Cucurbitaceae
Source: RefSeq, a predicted model, not a curated record